This 4086-nucleotide long non-coding RNA is filed under the name Podarcis lilfordi (Lilford's wall lizard). Lineage: Eukaryota; Metazoa; Chordata; Lepidosauria; Squamata; Lacertidae. The record is from RNAcentral.
GAAUAUAUUGAAGACACUAAUUUCUGGUUCUUCUGCUAAUACCAUUUACUUCUUUAAAAGGCAGUUGGCAUGGUAGAUGCUGCAGGAGUUUUUCUCAUAGUUUGAAAAAUCAGUAAUGCAGACUGAAGGAGAGGAUUCCUGGCUAAAGAAUAAGGUGCCCUGAUGUUCAAAGUGUGAUCCUUAUCAGCUAUUCUGAUUCAUAUGGGACUUCAAAAGUGUCUUAGUACUUAUUCGCAAAGAGACUGAGGCUAAAGUAUAUUCUUGGCCAACUGCAGCACUGCUCUUUUUUUCUGACCCAGAUGAUAAUUUGCUGGGGGUUUUUUCUUAUCAGUUGUUUGUUCAAAAAACAGUGUCCUGAAACACUUCAUCGCCUCCCCACUAAUGAAUUCCUUUAAGCAACUAAAUAGGAAUUCGUUAGUUACAAGUGGGAUCUGCAACACAAUGUUGCAGUGUAGCUAUGAACCACCCCUAAAAAUAUCCAGCUAGCCACUAAUGAUGCUAACAGUAGUAGUCUUGGUAUUAAUUUAUUGAAAGUUCUCCCCAGGUAGGCUCACCUGGUGCCAGUUUUGACAUCAUUCUGGCACUAGGUAAAACAGUUCUGUAUUAUCUGGGAUUUGAAUGCUGGUGUUAUUGUUUUGGGGAAUUUUCAAUACGUAGAUUAUUUUGUGGUGAUUGUGAAAGAUGUUCAUUGGAUGGGGUAUGUUUCUGACAUGCUUACCAGAUGUGACUAUUUUGCUGAAUUUUUUUUCCUAUUGUGUGAUAUUUCUAUUCUUCAUUACCUUGAGAUGUUUUCGUAUAAUUUCUUUCAUAAAAAUCCAUAUAAUUAAUAUACUGUUUGGUUGUAAAAGGAACUCCUCAAAGCUGUUUACAGAAAGAUGCCAGAACUCAUAAAUUUAAUAAAUAUGAAUCUAUAUCUAGUAGUAAUUUAGGGCUAAGCUAAAAAUACCCACUGCUUUAGGCAUUUUUGGGCAGUCUUGACAUGUGCUUCCUUCAUUUGAAUUUGUUUGCCUGCAACAACAUCAGGAUUGGCUAGGUAGUGUAAUGACAUCAUCUCAUUUCUUUUACAACCCCUGAUUAGCUGGGAUGAUUUCUGCACCUUCUCUUUCCUCACUCGCAGUUGACAGUGAUUUCCCUCAGUGACAUAAUCGCUUUGCAAAAUCUGAUGAGUUAUGUGCUGAUGUCACUGUGGUGAAUAUGAUUAAUCUAGGAUGAGGAAAAAGCAUUUAAUGGAAGGGGUGGAAUUAAAGCACCAGCAGGUAAGUGAAACUGUGGAACUGAACAGGUGCAGAAUAAGCUGACCAUUCUAACAAUCAGAGGUUUGGAGAAAAUAUUCCCCUCGCCUUCUAUAAUUCCUUUUUGGGGACUGAAAAUUGAGAUUGAAAAUAUUCAGAGCAGCCUCAUUGUUACUGCUGUUCUUUAGUAAAGUAGCUUACUUGAACAAUGCAUGAAUCACAGUAUUUAGUCAUGAUUUAAAUGUGAUCCUGGACGAGCAAGAAGGAUUUAUCCAUGCAGAAUUGCAAGCAUCCAGGUGUAGAAGUUUCUUCAUGAGACUCGGAGGAUAAAAUGCAAUAUUUACAGUUGUAUACACACAUUUUUACUUCCAAGCAACCAGGAAUGCAGAAGCCCCUGCCACAUUUAUUUUACAUUUCGUGAUGUUUGCUCUCACCUCCAAAGUACUGUUUAGUAAGGUUACGUAAUCACAUGUCCACCUGCAAAUUGCAAGGAGAGGAAGUUUGCAAGGAACCAAGAGAAUGAAUAAUAUUGGGAAUAAAGCAACUUUUGAUGAAGCAUUUAAUGAUAGAAAUGCAGCCUGCGCUAUAGUAACACACUGCCUUUGGUUUUUAUGAAUAGAUGGAAUUCUUAAUGAAUAAAUACUGGCAAUGUAAGCACAAAGGUCUCCCUGUUACAAUUUAGACAAUAUGCAGUGGCCCAAGUUUGAUUGCUUCAUUUAUCUACUUCAUUUAUAUUUCAUGCUUUCUAAUAACCCAAAAUUUAGCGGGAUGGCUUACAAUAAAAAGCAUUAAAAAGGUUGUUUGUUUAUGCUAUUGUUACUAUUGAUGGUAUCAAAUGUUUGCCCCAUUCCUGCUCCCGCCCCUUGUUGGACUUUUUUAUUGGGGAGGGAGGCAGCAGAAGAUUUGCACUGCAUUAUGGGAUAGUCCAAGGGCUUCUGUUCUCUAUUGGCUGGAACACAUCAUUCUUUCAGUUUACAGAAAGCAGUAUUUUAGUUAAUGAAAACUUAAACCAUUUUUUGAGGGGAGGGGAAGAAAAUUGUGUAUGGCUAGAAGAAAGCAUCCCUCACAUUAAAAUAAAUAAAUAAAUGGAAUGCUGGUUUAGCUUUUGGCAAUGGAUCUGUAGAUCAGAUUUUCCUUCAGGCAAUACAUGAAUUCAAAAUGUAUGCCAUGUGAUUUGCACAAUUACUGAAGGGGAGGUAAAGAGCCAAUAUUGUAUGGAAACCCUCUUAUGUGGAAGUUCUUCCCCUGCCUAUGGAAGUGCAGAGAAUAACUGAUAUUUUUUUAGUGGGCAGACAAUGGCAGCCCACACACUCUUCUCACUAAAUGUUGUAGAAGCCCAGUGAUAAGAAACAGUGCAGCUCCACCAAUUCAAACAGUCACCCUGUACCACUUCUUAUGGUAAAGCUUGCAUACGGACUCCGACGAAAUCCUGGAUCCUGAACCGAAUCGGGAAAGUAUGGGUUGAUGCAGGAUUCAGCUGGAGAAGGCUGAGGCUGUGUCAGAUUGCCUCAGGUUGGAUCAGCUCCAUACAGAGUGAUUCUGGGCUUUCAAAACAGGGGUAGCCUGGCAGAAAGAAGAAUGGGGAGAAGGAGACACACGCAGGCAGCCUGCAUACAUCUUCUACUACCUGCCACCUGAUUACAUAUUUAAUUGGGGUUGAAAAUCAUCAUUAGACACUGUGCAAGGCCACUGAAUUAGUUGGAGCCUCGCCCCCAGAUCUGUGUCAGAUUGGCUCCAAAUCACCUCAGCUCAGGGCUGCUGCAAAGAGCAGAAUCUGCCCCCCAAAUCGGAGACGGGAUGUUCACAGCCGUACUGGAGAGGACAUUGGAAAGGUGAGGGGCCAUCACAGAAAAGACUCUCUUCAGUUUCCAUCUCAGAAGGCAGAGAUACCUGGAGGAGAGCCUCAAAUGAUUAUCUCAGUUAAUGAACAGACCGGAAUGAGAGAAGACCCUCCAUGUAGAGCUUUAAAGGUUAGAACCACAGAAAUGAAAUGGGAGCCACAGUAUUGUGGACUAGUGACAGCUUUUGAACUUUCUCCCAAGGCAGAACCACGUAAAGUGCUCUGCUGUAACUCUCAACUUGAAAUUUCUAAAUCAUGGGAAGCCAUGAGUCUGCUGCCUGUAUCCAGGAGGGCACCAUAGCUGGAACAUCGGCUGAUAGAAGUCACUCCAUGCCACUAAGUCUACUUUGGCCUCAUGUGACAGUGAAUCUAAAAGAAGCAGACUACAGUCCUCUGCUUAACUGGUUGAGCAAUGUGUGCACAGCUGAACCAUCCAUCACCAGCGAUCUUCUCGGGAUUACAUUUAUUGGUCCUCAUCAAGUCCAUUACUGCUCCCAAAGAGCGGUUCAGCACUUUUUCCGCCUCACCUGAUUCAGAUUGUAAAAGAUAAUCUGUAUGUCUAAAAGAUGUUUUUUGCCCAUGUUAUUUGUCUACAUAACACUUGGCACGCAAUUUGUAUCCCCAAGAACUGGUUUAUACAUUUAUUUGGAGUGGUGGGAGGCAAAAACACAUUAUACAGUUUAUAACAGCUGAUACGCUUUAAUUGGGAUACCUUUUCUUCCAGGAAAAGAUUAUGUGAUGUUUGUGAAUGACUAUUACGUUGAGGUCUUCUUUACUAAAUUUCUAUUCUGCCCUUCCACCCAAAGGAGCCUAGGAUGGCAAACAACAAGGGAUGAAACAUUAAAAACAGAUUAAGAAUGAUUCUAAUACAGAUGCAGUCUGGGAAAGAUCUGGGCAGUAGCUCUCUGAGGUUUCAGAUAAUUUCUGCCCCAACCACUGCACCCUCCCUGGGAACUUCAGAAUGCAAAGUUUGUGCUCUGCUGCUGAGCUACAGCCCUUCCCUUCAAAUCUGUC